Molecule: small RNA, 116 nt
Filed under: Aquabacterium sp. NJ1
Lineage: Bacteria; Pseudomonadati; Pseudomonadota; Betaproteobacteria; Burkholderiales; Sphaerotilaceae
Also listed under: 1 other name
Description: Guanidine-I riboswitch aptamer
Rfam family: Guanidine-I riboswitch aptamer
About the family: This family represents a conserved RNA structure found upstream of the ykkC and yxkD genes in Bacillus subtilis and related genes in other bacteria. The function of this family is unclear although it has been suggested that it may function to switch on efflux pumps and detoxification systems in response to harmful environmental molecules.
Source: Rfam by way of RNAcentral
UGAAAAGGUGGCUAGGGUUCCGGCUCCGCACAGCGGGGUGACUGGUCCGAGAGCUGCCGGCCCGAGUCGGCUGCAUACCGACACUGGCUCCACGGCGGGACAAAAGCCCGGGAGGU